This 283-nucleotide ribosomal RNA is filed under the name uncultured Bacteroidota bacterium. Its description in RNAcentral is "uncultured Bacteroidetes bacterium partial 16S ribosomal RNA". It matches the Rfam family "Bacterial small subunit ribosomal RNA", at positions 28 to 310 of the family's 1533-position model. The record is from RNAcentral. Lineage: Bacteria; Pseudomonadati; Bacteroidota.
GAUGAACGCUAGCGGCAGGCUUAAUACAUGCAAGUCGAACGGUAACAGGUCUUUCGGGAUGCUGACGAGUGGCGCACGGGUGAGUAACGCGUACACAAUCUGCCUUCAUCAGGGGGAAAGUCACUGGAAACGGUGAAUAAUCCCGCAUACAACUCUUAGAUGGCAUCAUCAUAGAGUAAAAGUUCCGGCGGAUGAAGAUGAGUGUGCGUCUGAUUAGCUAGAUGGUGAGGUAACGGCUCACCAUGGCGACGAUCAGUAGGGGGCGUGAGAGCGUGAUCCCCCA